CUCAUAUUGAAACCUAGUGAUUUAUGAGUUAGUGGCGGACGGGUGAGUAACGCGUGGAAAACCUGCCGUAUACCGGGGGAUAACACUUAGAAAUAGGUGCUAAUACCGCAUAAGCGCACAGCUUCGCAUGAAGCAGUGUGAAAAACUCCGGUGGUAUACGAUGGUUCCGCGUCUGAUUAGCUAGUUGGCGGGGUAACGGCCCACCAAGGCAGCGAUCAGUAGCCGGCCUGAGAGGGUGAACGGCCACAUUGGGACUGAGACACGGCCCAAACUCCUACGGGAGGCAGCAGUGGGGAAUAUUGCACAAUGGGGGAAACCCUGAUGCAGCGACGCCGCGUGAGUGAAGAAGUAUUUCGGUACGUAAAGCUCUAUCAGCAGGGAAGAAAAUGACGGUACCUGACUAAGAAGCCCCGGCUAACUACGUGCCAGCAGCCGCGGUAAUACGUAGGGGGCAAGCGUUAUCCGGAUUUACUGGGUGUAAAGGGAGCGUAGACGGCAGCGCAAGUCUGGAGUGAAAUGCCGGGGCCCAACCCCGGAACUGCUUUGGAAACUGUGCAGCUUGAGUGCGGGAGAGGUAAGUGGAAUUCCUAGUGUAGCGGUGAAAUGCGUAGAUAUUAGGAGGAACACCAGUGGCGAAGGCGGCUUACUGGACCGUAACUGACGUUGAGGCUCGAAAGCGUGGGGAGCAAACAGGAUUAGAUACCCUGGUAGUCCACGCCGUANACGAUGAUUACUAGGUGUCGGGGGACCAANGUCCUCCGGUGCCGGCGCAAACGCAUUAAGUAAUCCACCUGGGGAGUAC
RNAcentral lists this ribosomal RNA (802 nucleotides) under uncultured bacterium. RNAcentral describes it as "bacterial SSU rRNA". It matches the Rfam family "Bacterial small subunit ribosomal RNA", at positions 67 to 883 of the family's 1533-position model. The record is from RNAcentral.